ACGCUGGCGGCAGGCCUAACACAUGCAAGUCGAGCGGUAGAGAGAAGCUUGCUUCUCUUGAGAGCGGCGGACGGGUGAGUAAUGCCUAGGAAUCUGCCUGGUAGUGGGGGAUAACGUUCGGAAACGGACGCUAAUACCGCAUACGUCCUACGGGAGAAAGCAGGGGACCUUCGGGCCUUGCGCUAUCAGAUGAGCCUAGGUCGGAUUAGCUAGUUGGUGAGGUAAUGGCUCACCAAGGCGACGAUCCGUAACUGGUCUGAGAGGAUGAUCAGUCACACUGGAACUGAGACACGGUCCAGACUCCUACGGGAGGCAGCAGUGGGGAAUAUUGGACAAUGGGCGAAAGCCUGAUCCAGCCAUGCCGCGUGUGUGAAGAAGGUCUUCGGAUUGUAAAGCACUUUAAGUUGGGAGGAAGGGUUGUAGAUUAAUACUCUGCAAUUUUGACGUUACCGACAGAAUAAGCACCGGCUAACUCUGUGCCACCAGCCGCGGUAAUACAGAGGCUCCAAGCGUUAAUCGGAAUUACUGGGCGUAAAGCGCGCGUAGGUGGUUUGUUAAGUUGGAUGUGAGAUCCCCGGGCUCAACCUGGGGACUCCAUUCAAAACUGACUGACUAGAGUAUGGUAGAGGGUGGUGGAAUUUCCUGUGUACCGGUGAAAUGCGUAGAUAUAGGAAGGACACACCAGUGGCGAAGGCGACCACCUGGACUAAUACUGACACUGAGGUGCGAAAGCGUGGGGAGCAAACAGGAUUAGAUACCC
This 760-nucleotide ribosomal RNA is filed under the name uncultured bacterium. Its description in RNAcentral is "bacterial SSU rRNA". It matches the Rfam family "Bacterial small subunit ribosomal RNA", at positions 33 to 787 of the family's 1533-position model. The record is from RNAcentral.